GACGAACGCUGGCGGCGUGCCUAAUACAUGCAAGUCGAACGCAGUGAGGACGGGUGAGUAACACGUGGGUAACCUCCCAUCAGAGGGGAUAACACUUGGAAACAGGUGCUAAACCGAUACUGAUGGAGGAACCCGCGGUGCAUUCGCUAGUUGGUGAGGUAACGGCUCACCAAGGCCACGAUGCAUAGCCGACCUGAGAGGGGGAUCGGCCCAACUGGGACCGAGACACUGCCCAGACUCCUUCGGGAGGCAGCAGUAGGGACGCUUCGGCAAUGGACGAAAGUCUGACCGAGAAACGCCGCGUGAUUGAAGAAGGUUUUCGGAUCGUAAAGCUCUGUUGUUAGAGAAGCGGUAACUAACCAGAAAGGGACGGCCAACUACGUGCCAGCAGCCGCGGUAAUUC
Molecule: ribosomal RNA, 403 nt
Filed under: uncultured bacterium
Lineage: Bacteria
Description: partial 16S ribosomal RNA
Rfam family: Bacterial small subunit ribosomal RNA
Source: RNAcentral